UACCGCAUAACCCGCUAGUAUCGCAUGAUACGGACGGAAAAGAUUUAUCGGUAUGAGAUGGACCCGCGUCUGAUUAGCCAGUUGGCAGGGUAACGGCCUACCAAAGCAACGAUCAGUAGCCGGCCUGAGAGGGUGAACGGCCACAUUGGGACUGAGACACGGCCCAAACUCCUACGGGAGGCAGCAGUGGGGAAUAUUGCACAAUGGGGGAAACCCUGAUGCAGCGACGCCGCGUGAGUGAGGAAGUAUUUCGGUAUGUAAAGCUCUAUCAGCAGGGAAGAAAAUGACGGUACCUGACUAAGAAGCCCCGGCUAACUACGUGCCAGCAGCCGCGGUAAUACGUAGGGGGCAAGCGUUAUCCGGAUUUACUGGGUGUAAAGGGAGCGUAGACGGUUAAUCAAGUCAGAAGUGAAAACCCAGGGCUCAACCUUGGGACUGCUUUUGAAACUGAGUAGCUAGAGUGCAGGAGAGGUAAGCGGAAUUCCUAGUGUAGCGGUGAAAUGCGUAGAUAUUAGGAGGAACACCAGUGGCGAAGGCGGCUUACUGGACUGUAACUGACGUUGAGGCUCGAAAGCGUGGGGAGCAAACAGGAUUAGAUACCCUGGUAGUCCACGCCGUAAACGAC
RNAcentral lists this ribosomal RNA (625 nucleotides) under uncultured bacterium. Its description in RNAcentral is "bacterial SSU rRNA". It matches the Rfam family "Bacterial small subunit ribosomal RNA", at positions 167 to 810 of the family's 1533-position model. The record is from RNAcentral.